UUUGUGAAGAUGCAAUUAAUCUCAAAAAUUAUAAUGACCAUGAAAAUAAUCUAUCUGCCAUAUGCCUUGUAAAGCUGGAUAGUUCUCGAACAUAUUCUCUAGAUGAAUUUUGUGAAGAGCAGUUACAGCAAGCUACCCAGGCAUUGAAACAACUUGAGGACAUCAGGAAUAAAGCAAUUUCAGAGAUGAAAAGUACUUUUCUAAAGGUUGUGGAAUCAUCAUUGCAGCAGCUGGAAUGUGAUCCCACUGAAAUAGAAGAAUUUCUGGAGCAUUUUAUUUUUUUGAAUGCAAUUUCCUCAAAAAUAUCUAAAUUAGAAAAAGAGUUCUUAACAAUGUCUCAGCUAUAUUCUGUUGCAAAGCAUCACCAGAUCCAUAUUUCAGAAGAGCAAAUUGCCAUAUUCCAAGUUCUUCUUCUUAAGUUUAGUCAACUAAAAUCAUCUAUGAAGUUAAGUAAAAUAAAUAAAGACACUGCUAUAACUAAAUUCAGAG
This 489-nucleotide long non-coding RNA is filed under the name Homo sapiens (human). RNAcentral describes it as "HSALNT0298644". Lineage: Eukaryota; Metazoa; Chordata; Mammalia; Primates; Hominidae. The record is from RNAcentral.